Molecule: non-coding RNA, 157 nt
Organism: Pelobates cultripes (western spadefoot toad)
Lineage: Eukaryota; Metazoa; Chordata; Amphibia; Anura; Pelobatidae
Source: the annotation of a GenBank genome assembly
GCAGAUACAUUCCAGCCAAUCAGCAGCAGACCCUCCCUCCCAGACCCUCCCACCUCCUGGACAGCUCACUAAGAAUGCAGCUUCACAAUGGAUGCUGUCCAGGAGGUGGGAGGGUCUCGGAGGGAGGGUCUGCUGCUGAUUGGCUGGAAUGUGUCUG